Trachemys scripta elegans is the source of this 786-nucleotide long non-coding RNA. RefSeq lists it as uncharacterized. The record is from RefSeq and is a predicted model, not a curated record. The transcript has 4 exons. NCBI's taxonomy places the organism in Eukaryota, Metazoa, Chordata, Testudines, Emydidae.
AAAGGACCAGCCAUUUUGCUUAUGGAAAACAGUGUGACAUAUUAUGCUGUGCUUUACCACAGAAUAAACAAAAAUCUAUUCGCAGGAAACCGAAGAAACAGGCAUAUUAGUGAAUAAUUAUUACAGCUGAGCGUGCCCUCAAGAUGCCAUUUUGACAAGCUGGUGGCUGCUGCUGCCACGAGCUGAUCUGCGAGGGUGGAAUGCAGUGUGAUAAUGCUGCAUAUCUGCUAACAGCAGUGGAGUAGGAUUUUUGACUUGUAAAGGCAAGGUUUCUUUGCAACGUUAUCUCAACAGCUCGCUAGCUGCUCAGAGUGAAAGCUGCUGACCCAAAAGAAGGGUGUUGCCCUCUCUCAACAUUGUUCUUGUGCACUGCUGUUUUAUAUGAGCAGGCGCUGCUGAAGAAGCAGGUGUGCAGUUCAGAUGGGCUCUGUAUUGUAGGCUGUACAAACCAGGUUUACAUGCUUCCUAUUAAAAGAUUGUUGGCUUAGGAGCAUCUGCCUGUGGACUUAUUCCUAGAAGGAGGCUACCGUACAUCUCAGCUUAUGUGAAAGAGAUUCCUGUAUUUGACUUAAACUUAAACCUUUGGAGUGCAAACCUUCAAAAAAGGCUAAAUAAACAAGAUCUGCAUGUACAAGGGCAGAAGCACUUACUUCCUCUGCACUUGAGAAACAGCCAAGCUGGUCCGUCCGGAAAACUGAAGACUUUUAUAACAAAACCUCCAGUGUCAAAAUGAAUACAGGUAUGCUGUUUCUGUGAGAUUUUUCUUUACUUAACACACUUUGAUAA